This 72-nucleotide transfer RNA is filed under the name Streptomyces phage Immanuel3. RNAcentral describes it as "tRNA-Pro". It matches the Rfam family "tRNA". Rfam says of the family: Transfer RNA (tRNA) molecules are approximately 80 nucleotides in length. Their secondary structure includes four short double-helical elements and three loops (D, anti-codon, and T loops). RNAcentral also lists the same sequence under 9 other names. The record is from RNAcentral. Lineage: Duplodnaviria; Heunggongvirae; Uroviricota; Caudoviricetes.
CUCCCUGUAGUGAACUGGUAUCACACCUGUUUUGGGAACAGGCAAAGAAGGUUCGAUUCCUUCCAGAGAGAC